This 786-nucleotide long non-coding RNA is filed under the name Eptatretus burgeri (inshore hagfish). RNAcentral's name for it is "lncRNA (ENSEBUG00000017200.1)". Lineage: Eukaryota; Metazoa; Chordata; Myxini; Myxiniformes; Myxinidae. The record is from RNAcentral.
GUUGGUGUGGUGAGUGGUGUAGUGUAAUUUCUAGAGAUGUUCUGAUUGGUGGAAGGGGCUGGGAAUUGGUUUAGUUUGUUCUCAACCACAUUCGGACUGUUUUUGCUGUGGAUGACAAAUAAAUUUAUUUAUUUUGUAAACCUCUGACCAACAAGAUUUUAUUUAAUGAGGUUUUUCUGCUCUGAUAGCACAAAAACAAUUUCUGUGGCCUCAUGAAUUGAAAUGGUUCUCAAAUUGUGAAUAUUAUUUGGAUUUCUGGCCAUUUGGAGGAAUUGCUCAAGGUUGAAUUUAUUUUGUCCUCGCUAUCUCGCGAUCAGGGUUGGGCUGUGACCUCCUGAGCCCGAAAAAAAUAGUCAAAUCGCCAUCGAAGAGCAGCAGGCCGGUGGUCAGAAGGCCCCCAGUAGCGACAAGUGUGCCUUCUGCGACGACGACAGAUGCGGAUGAGGAGAGAGCUCCAGUCGACCCCAAGGAGGUCGAGGCUGAGAUUUAUCCGAUCUUUGAGACUGCGAGAGAGACGCUGCUUGCAAACUCGGCAUUACAAGAGAAGCUGGCUCUGAAUAUCAACCACAUCAUGAGCAGCAGUGAAAUAUGCAGCAGUACCUUGGCUGAAGACCCGGUACUCGCAGUGGAACAAGCACAGGACAGCUCAGCAGAGAUGGAGCACAACUCUUUGAACGAAUCGCCGGAUGUUCCGACAUGGUCGAGGAUUGUGGAAGAACUAAAGUCGAAACAAAAUUGAAGAAACAAAUAAGGAAACACCAACAGCAGUAUAGAAGCGAGAGCGAG